Molecule: ribosomal RNA, 460 nt
Filed under: uncultured bacterium
Lineage: Bacteria
Description: partial 16S ribosomal RNA
Rfam family: Bacterial small subunit ribosomal RNA
Source: RNAcentral
CCUACGGGAGACUGCAGUGAGGAAUAUUGGUCAAUGGGCGCUAGUCUGAACCAGCCAAGUAGCGUGAAGGAUGACUGCCCUAUGGGUUGUAAACUUCUUUUAUAAAGGAAUAAAGUGAGGCACGUGUGCCUUUUUGUAUGUACUUUAUGAAUAAGGAUCGGCCAACUCCGUGCCAGCACCCGCGGUAAUACGGAGGAUCCGAGCGUUAUCCGGAUUGAUUGGGUUUAAAGGGAGCGUAGAUGGGUUGUUAAGUCAGUUGUGAAAGUUUGUGGCUCAACCUUAAAAUUGCACUUGAUACUGGCAGGCUUGAGUACAGUUGAGGUAGGCAGAAUUCGUGGUGUAGCGGUGAAAUGCUUAGAUAUCACGAAGAACUCCGAUUGCGAAGGCAGCUCACUAAACUGCCACUGACAUUGAUGCUCGAAAGUGUGGGUAUCAAACAGGAUUAGAUACCCGAGUAGUC